GUUUUCUCUCUAAUUUUCUCUCUAGGUCUUGUGUUGUAUAAGGAGGAAAAAUUGAAUAUAUAUAUAGCCUAUCGGGGCGCCUAGGCGCCAUGUUUCUGUCAAGAAACAUACUCGGGGCGGCGCCUAGGCGUCCAGUUUCUGCUUCGGCAGAAGCGCCCACUCCAGCGCCUAGGCGCUACUUGCUCCUUUCUCAACUUCUCUUCUUCUUUUCUCUUCUCAGUUUCUUUUCUUCUCACAAUUCUCCACCUCGUACAUCAUUUGAUAGACCUCAAAUUUUGGACGAACACAAGAAGAAGAAAUAAACACCAAAAGAACUCGGCUGCACCAUUCAAAUCAUGAUUGCCUACGUACCCAAAACUCGGGAUCAAGCCUCCGUAGUUCACCUCCACCUUCAUAUACUCUCCACCUCAUUUCAACCUCCCCCCCCGAAGGGCCA
RNAcentral lists this long non-coding RNA (436 nucleotides) under Olea europaea subsp. europaea. Lineage: Eukaryota; Viridiplantae; Streptophyta; Magnoliopsida; Lamiales; Oleaceae. The record is from RNAcentral.